AUUGAACGCUGGCGGCAGGCCUAACGCAUGCAAGUCGAGCGGAUGAAGGGAGCUUGCUCCUGGAUUCAGCGGCGGACGGGUGAGUAAUGCCUAGGAAUCUGCCUGGUAGUGGGGGAUAACGUCCGGAAACGGGCGCUAAUACCGCAUACGUCCUGAGGGAGAAAGUGGGGGAUCUUCGGACCUCACGCUAUCAGAUGAGCCUAGGUCGGAUUAGCUAGUUGGUGGGGUAAAGGCCUACCAAGGCGACGAUCCGUAACUGGUCUGAAAGGAUGAUCAGUCACACUGGAACUGAGACACGGUCCAGACUCCUACGGGAGGCAGCAGUGGGGAAUAUUGGACAAUGGGCGAAAGCCUGAUCCAGCCAUGCCGCGUGUGUGAAGAAGGUCUUCGGAUUGUAAAGCACUUUAAGUUGGGAGGAAGGGCAGUAAGUUAAUACCUUGCUGUUUUGACGUUACCAACAGAAUAAGCACCGGCUAACUUCGUG
RNAcentral lists this ribosomal RNA (484 nucleotides) under uncultured bacterium. RNAcentral describes it as "partial 16S ribosomal RNA". It matches the Rfam family "Bacterial small subunit ribosomal RNA", at positions 30 to 507 of the family's 1533-position model. The record is from RNAcentral.